AGCGAUCCCAACCCUAUCCUGUUGCUCUCGCUCUCACUUCACUCUCUCUCUCUCUCACUUCAUUCUCUCUCCUGUACUACUCGACUACUCCGCUCUCCCCAUCCGGCGCAAGGCGCAAGCUCACGCCGCUGCCAACGCCGCCGCGCGCGAGCUCCCGCGGCCGCCGCCGACGCCGCGAGCUCACGCGGCCUGCCACCUAAGCCGCGAGCUCACGCGGCCUGCCGCCUCCGUCGCGCUCGAGCUCCCACCGACGCCGUCGCGCGCGAGCUCCCGCAGCCGCCGCCUCCGCCGCCGUGCGCAAGCUCACGCCGCUACCCCACGCUAGCUGCCUCAGGCCAUGGAGGAUCUGGUGCGGGCUACCAUUUUAGUACUAUUUAGUCCCUUCAACCAAACAGGCUAUGACUAAAAAGGACUAAUGUUUUAGUCUUGGGGCUAAACUUUAGUCCUAGUCCUGGGACUAAUGUAUCCUUAGUUCCUAACUUUUUUUUCAAACUUACAACUUUUUCAUCACAUCGAAACUUUACUAUACACACAAAUUUCUAAUCUUUCCAUCACAACAUUCCAAUUUCAAUCAAACUUUUAAUUUUGAUGUGAACUAAAUAGAACAUCCGCAGAGCAGUACUGGAGGAGGGUGGAGGAGAUCGGAAGGCUCGGCAAGUGGCUGGCCACCGAGGACGAGCAUGCAUGGUAAGAGGCUAAGAGCAUCAAUGACGCUUCAUGGCGACCAGAGAUGAGGUGCAUGCUGGAAUGCUGGGUGCUGCCGCAAACUUAAUUCGUGUUAUGGGAGACUCGGUCGGCCCACGACGGUGAAUGGAUUAAUUAACCUCACGAAGCUAGUAUCUAGAUCAGCAUCGACAGCUGGUGAGUCUUGGGAAGAAGAAAACGGCGGGUGGCGAGCUUCAUCACCGCCUUCUCGGCCCUGUUCACUUUAAUGUCAUUUUAAACCUUAUCAAUUUCUGGCAAUACCAAAAUUUUAGUAAGGUUGGCAAUAUUAUCAAAUUUUGGUAAGAUAGCUAUUUUGGAUGUGCUUACUUUGUUGCCAACGUA
Oryza sativa Japonica Group (Japanese rice) is the source of this 1047-nucleotide non-coding RNA. Lineage: Eukaryota; Viridiplantae; Streptophyta; Magnoliopsida; Poales; Poaceae. The record is from RefSeq and is a predicted model, not a curated record.